UAAUAAGUGUUUUAUGGCACUUUUUAAAUCCAUAUCCCACCUUGUGUGCAAUGUUGGUCGAUCUUCUUUCAUGGAGAUCGACCAAACAUCAACCUUUAUCUUUUAACUCUUUGUCUUAAAAAUAUUAUGAAUAAACAAUUCAAAAUA
RNAcentral lists this unclassified non-coding RNA (147 nucleotides) under soil metagenome. RNAcentral's name for it is "partial internal transcribed spacer 1". The record is from RNAcentral.